Molecule: long non-coding RNA, 1736 nt
Organism: Bombus huntii
Lineage: Eukaryota; Metazoa; Arthropoda; Insecta; Hymenoptera; Apidae
Exons: 4
Source: RefSeq, a predicted model, not a curated record
AUCUUAAUGUUGUUCACUUGAGUGAUGAUAUUAUAAGGAAAAGUGUAAUAUCACAGGAUAUUUAUGUUUAGUAACCAGUAAUUCAGAGAUUGGUAUUCAUGGUUACUAUAACGAGGCUGUAGAAACGCACCCUUUCUUCUUUGCAAAUGGUCCUGUAUUUAUGUCUAAGCCGAAACUGGAACCUCUGAAUAAUUUAGAUUUAUUCUUGUUAUUUUCUAAAAUACUUAUCUACAGUAUACCAUAAGGAAUGAUACCGUAUCGCACCUAAUCAAGUGCCUUAAGAAACAUCAACAGGAUAUCACAGUAAUCCCGUAUCGACUGAUAUUUGUAGCCACUACAAUAUCUAUGACACUGGUAGUAAUUAUGAGAACAAUAAUGAUGUGUUCUAUAAGAGGAAAUGAUGAUUAGGAACAAAAACUUACAGGUAAGUCAAAGUAUAUGUUAUUUGCCAUUUGAAAAGAAAGUUACUAACUUGGAAUUUUUUGAUAAAUAAUAAUUGUAUCAUACGUACUUUUGAAUUCGUGCAAGAACAUAUGUAAUUUUGAAGUAGUUAUUAUUAGGAAAUUGUUAGACGCGAACAGUAUGCGAAAAGUUAGUAUGCAGUGUAAUAAUUAUCAAUCAAAACACAAGAAUUAAAUUCUUGAGGAAAAAAUUUCCGGAAUUUCUUAUUUACAUGAUUAUAAAGAAAUCCAUAAUAAAAAGGAGCUGCUUUCUAAUACUUCUCUUCCUUGUAAUGCCUGCGUUAAUAAUAACGAGGUUCGACUUUUUGUUUUUAGAGGGAUACUGGAAAAUUUGAAAGUACAGUACCAUUGGGAAGAAAAUCACGAUAUUGAAAACGAUAUUUGCAAAUUGAACAAUAUUCCAGAUUUAUUCAUAAUUUCAUACUACGCGAAGAAUAGACUUUUCAUAGGUAUAUAAAGGAAAUAUUAAGUAUAGGAAAACUCUUUUUCGUUGUAGGUGACAUAUGCUUCACGGUUGAACACAUGUAUUUUUGAACACAUAUAAAUGAAAAAGUACUCUUAUGGAGAAAAAGAAUUGAUACCUUCGAUUGACAUUAGAUAAUGUAUAUAAACUUAUGAACAAUCACUAUCAGUUUGUAUCUUAGGUGCACACGCAGAUUUGUUGGAGUUCUUAUAAAAUGUACUUCCUGUACGAACGUUUUAUUCUUCCAAAUUUUACGAUACUAUGUCUCAUAUAAUAACUAUAUGGAUUAAACGUAAUAUAAAUGAUCCGAAAAUAGACUCGAACGACAUUAAUUGUCUUUCUAUUUAUACCAAUAUCGAAAAUACAAGUAAAGCUGGAGCAAUAGUAUGCAAGAAUGGACUAUUUAUUAUUUUAAACCAAAUCAUAGCAUAUUCAGAAUGCACAGUAUUAUCAUGAAAUGUAAAUGAAUCAGUUGUAAACGAACGAUUUUACUGUAAAAUCGUUGCCUCCUUUUUUUCAUCUGAAAUAUAGCAGCAAUGAGUACAUUCUUUUAAUAUAUAAUAAAACGAGAUAUCUUUAUAAAGUUACAUAUGUCAUCACUGGUAACUGUUAUCUCGUAUGACACCAAAUAUACCGUUAGUAUGGAAUGAUAUUUUUAUGAAGAUAUACUUUAAUGAUAGAUUUUAUGAAUGAAACGUUAUAUAAGAAAAAUUAUCUCUUGUUAUUCUAUGAAGUGUAGUAGCUAAUGAAGAUUAAUUUUACGAAGUAUUAGAGCAAAAGAGAAUUAAAAAAUUAAAAAGAUCUAAAUAAGA